RNAcentral lists this ribosomal RNA (333 nucleotides) under uncultured eukaryote. RNAcentral's name for it is "partial 18S ribosomal RNA". It matches the Rfam family "Eukaryotic small subunit ribosomal RNA", at positions 1470 to 1796 of the family's 1831-position model. The record is from RNAcentral.
CCCUUAGAUGUUCGGGGCUGCACAUGCGCUACACUGAAGGAAUCAACGUGUAUUUGCCCUUGCCCGAAAGGGUUGGGUAACCCGUUGAACCUCCUUCGUGCUAGGGAUUGGGGCUUGUAAUUAUUCCCCAUGAACGAGGAAUUCCCAGUAAGCGCGAGUCAUAAGCUCGCGUUGAUUACGUCCCUGCCCUUUGUACACACCGCCCGUCGCUACUACCGAUUGAAUGGUUUAGUGAGAUCCUCGGAUUGGUCUCGCCACGGGAGGAAACUUUCGAGGCGGAGUGCCGAGAAGACGAUCAAACUUGAUCAUUUAGAGGAAGUAAAAGUCGUAACA